Molecule: non-coding RNA, 150 nt
Organism: Caenorhabditis elegans
Lineage: Eukaryota; Metazoa; Nematoda; Chromadorea; Rhabditida; Rhabditidae
Source: Ensembl
GCAUGUACUCCCAGACGCAACAUUUUUUUUCACAAAAAAUACGGUACCGGGUCUCGACACGACAAAAUAUUUUUCGAUUUUUCGGUUUCCCAGAAAAUCAAAAUAUUCGUUUUUCGAUUUUCAAUUUUCCAAUUUUUUGAUCGUUCGAUU